GGGAUUACCUGGGUGUGUCUAAGGUGUUUUUUUUCUUUUCUUUUUCUAAACACCUUAGACACACCCAGGUAAUCCCUA
This 78-nucleotide microRNA precursor is filed under the name Pelobates cultripes (western spadefoot toad). The record is from RNAcentral. Lineage: Eukaryota; Metazoa; Chordata; Amphibia; Anura; Pelobatidae.